RNAcentral lists this transfer RNA (73 nucleotides) under Canis lupus familiaris (dog). It matches the Rfam family "tRNA". Rfam says of the family: Transfer RNA (tRNA) molecules are approximately 80 nucleotides in length. Their secondary structure includes four short double-helical elements and three loops (D, anti-codon, and T loops). RNAcentral also lists the same sequence under 1 other name. The record is from Rfam by way of RNAcentral. Lineage: Eukaryota; Metazoa; Chordata; Mammalia; Carnivora; Canidae.
GCCUGGCUAGCUCAGUCAGUAGAGCACAAGACUCUUGAUCUUGGGGUCAAGAGUUCAAGCCCCAUGUUGGGUA